AAAUUGAAGAGUUUGAUCAUGGCUCAGAUUGAACGCUGGCGGCAGGCCUAACACAUGCAAGUCGAACGGUAACAGAAAGCAGCUUGCUGCUUCGCUGACGAGUGGCGGACGGGUGAGUAAUGUCUGGGAAACUGCCUGAUGGAGGGGGAUAACUACUGGAAACGGUAGCUAAUACCGCAUAACGUCGCAAGACCAAAGAGGGGGACCUUCGGGCCUCUUGCCAUCGGAUGUGCCCAGAUGGGAUUAGCUUGUUGGUGGGGUAACGGCUCACCAAGGCGACGAUCCCUAGCUGGUCUGAGAGGAUGACCAGCCACACUGGAACUGAGACACGGUCCAGACUCCUACGGGAGGCAGCAGUGGGGAAUAUUGCACAAUGGGCGCAAGCCUGAUGCAGCCAUGCCGCGUGUAUGAAGAAGGCCUUCGGGUUGUAAAGUACUUUCAGCGGGGAGGAAGGGAGUAAAGUUAAUACCUUUGCUCAUUGACGUUACCCGCAGAAGAAGCACCGGCUAACUCCGUGCCAGCAGCCGCGGUAAUACGGAGGGUGCAAGCGUUAAUCGGAAUUACUGGGCGUAAAGCGCACGCAGGCGGUUUGUUAAGUCAGAUGUGAAAUCCCCGGGCUCAACCUGGGAACUGCAUCUGAUACUGGCAAGCUUGAGUCUCGUAGAGGGGGGUAGAAUUCCAGGUGUAGCGGUGAAAUGCGUAGAGAUCUGGAGGAAUACCGGUGGCGAAGGCGGCCCCCUGGACGAAGACUGACGCUCAGGUGCGAAAGCGUGGGGAGCAAACAGGAUUAGAUACCCUGGUAGUCCACGCCGUAAACGAUGUCGACUUGGAGGUUGUGCCCUUGAGGCGUGGCUUCCGGAGCUAACGCGUUAAGUCGACCGCCUGGGGAGUACGGCCGCAAGGUUAAAACUCAAAUGAAUUGACGGGGGCCCGCACAAGCGGUGGAGCAUGUGGUUUAAUUCGAUGCAACGCGAAGAACCUUACCUGGUCUUGACAUCCACAGAACUUUCCAGAGAUGGAUUGGUGCCUUCGGGAACUGUGAGACAGGUGCUGCAUGGCUGUCGUCAGCUCGUGUUGUGAAAUGUUGGGUUAAGUCCCGCAACGAGCGCAACCCUUAUCCUUUGUUGCCAGCGGUCCGGCCGGGAACUCAAAGGAGACUGCCAGUGAUAAACUGGAGGAAGGUGGGGAUGACGUCAAGUCAUCAUGGCCCUUACGACCAGGGCUACACACGUGCUACAAUGGCGCAUACAAAGAGAAGCGACCUCGCGAGAGCAAGCGGACCUCAUAAAGUGCGUCGUAGUCCGGAUUGGAGUCUGCAACUCGACUCCAUGAAGUCGGAAUCGCUAGUAAUCGUGGAUCAGAAUGCCACGGUGAAUACGUUCCCGGGCCUUGUACACACCGCCCGUCACACCAUGGGAGUGGGUUGCAAAAGAAGUAGGUAGCUUAACCUUCGGGAGGGCGCUUACCACUUUGUGAUUCAUGACUGGGGUGAAGUCGUAACAAGGUAACCGUAGGGGAACCUGCGGUUGGAUCACCUCCUUACCUUAAAGAAGC
RNAcentral lists this ribosomal RNA (1554 nucleotides) under Escherichia coli. RNAcentral describes it as "bacterial SSU rRNA". It matches the Rfam family "Bacterial small subunit ribosomal RNA". Lineage: Bacteria; Pseudomonadati; Pseudomonadota; Gammaproteobacteria; Enterobacterales; Enterobacteriaceae. The record is from RNAcentral.